GACGGACGCUGGCGGCGUGCUUAACACAUGCAAGUCGAACGGAAAGGCCCUGAUUUUGUGGGUUGCUCGUGUGGCGAACGGGUGAGUAACACGUGAGUAACCUGUCCUUGUAUUUGGGAUAUAUCUUGGAAACUGGGGAUAUUACAGGAUAGGAGCUCUUGAACCAUGGUGGUGGUUGGUAAGAUUCGGCGGUUGGGGAUGGACUCGCGGCUUAUCAGCUUGUUGGUGGGGUAGUGGCGUACCAAGGCUUUGACGGGUAGCCGGCCUGAGAGGGUGACCGGCCACAUUGGGACUGAGAUACGGCCCAGUCGCCUACGGGAGGCAGCAGUGGGGAAUAUUGCACAAUGGGCGGAAGCCUGAUGCAGCAACGCCGCGUGCGGGAUGACGGCCUUCGGGUUGUAAACCGCUUUCGCCUGUGAUGAAGCGUGAGUGACGGUAAUGGGUAAAGAAGCACCGGCUAACUACGUG
RNAcentral lists this ribosomal RNA (468 nucleotides) under uncultured bacterium. RNAcentral describes it as "partial 16S ribosomal RNA". It matches the Rfam family "Bacterial small subunit ribosomal RNA", at positions 28 to 507 of the family's 1533-position model. The record is from RNAcentral.